RNAcentral lists this ribosomal RNA (513 nucleotides) under uncultured bacterium. RNAcentral's name for it is "partial 16S ribosomal RNA". It matches the Rfam family "Bacterial small subunit ribosomal RNA", at positions 28 to 523 of the family's 1533-position model. The record is from RNAcentral.
GACGAACGCUGGCGGCGUGCCUAAUACAUGCAAGUAGAACGCUGAAGAAAGGAGCUUGCUUCUUUUGGAUGAGUUGCGAACGGGUGAGUAACGCGUAGGUAACCUGCCUUGUAGCGGGGGAUAACUAUUGGAAACGAUAGCUAAUACCGCAUAACAGCUUUUGACACAUGUUAGAAGCUUGAAAGAUGCAAUUGCAUCACUACGGGAUGGACCUGCGUUGUAUUAGCUAGUAGGUAGGGUAACGGCCUACCUAGGCGACGAUACAUAGCCGACCUGAGAGGGUGAUCGGCCACACUGGGACUGAGACACGGCCCAGACUCCUACGGGAGGCAGCAGUAGGGAAUCUUCGGCAAUGGGGGCAACCCUGACCGAGCAACGCCGCGUGAGUGAAGAAGGUUUUCGGAUCGUAAAGCUCUGUUGUAAGAGAAGAACGUGUGUGAGAGUGGAAAGUUCACACAGUGACGGUAACUUACCAGAAAGGGACGGCUAACUACGUGCCAGCAGCCGCAGUAA